UGGGUGCAAUUAAGAAUAAGGCUCUUUAAAUCAAACUUGAGCUGAUGCAGCAACGUGUGACAAAAUCUCACAGAGGCCCGUUAGACUCUAAGAAGCAAAGGUUCCUCUUCCUAAACCACAAAGUCUUGAGCGCCCACGUACAAGUCAACAAUAAAAGCAGCGUCUUCUCUCAUCAACUCACAAACCUCACCACACAGACCAGGACACACAACUGAAACCAGUGAAUUCAGCAGGAACAAUGUCGAAGGUUGGAAACGUAGAGGGUGUUGGCAUCGGAAACAACGUUGGGGACGUCGGUGCUCACAAUGAAGUCAAAGUUCAAGGAGGUCUAGGAAAAGACGCUUCUCUUGGAAAUGUGUCCGACGUCAAGGUGUGUGGAACAAAUGCUGGGAAAAUUGGAGCACACAACAAGCUUGACGUAAAAGGAGGACUUCCAGAUAACGCAAGUGUUGGAAACACUUCUAAAGUGGUUGUUGGUCAAAACACCGGGAACAUCGGUGCUGGAAACAAGAUUAACAUCAGCUGAGGAAAUGAUCCUCCGAUGAUCAGCUCUUCCUAAAAUGAUGAAACAUUUGCUUUGCUGUCAGUACAUUGAAGGUUUUCCACCUCUGUGUUCAGACAUCAAUCAUUCCAAAUCUGUAAACGUAAAUGUCACUCAUCAGAUGUAUUCAAAAGAAGAGUUGAAAUAAAGUCUAUCUACUGAACAAUA
Long non-coding RNA from Notolabrus celidotus (New Zealand spotty), 709 nucleotides. RefSeq lists it as uncharacterized. The record is from RefSeq and is a predicted model, not a curated record. The transcript has 5 exons. NCBI's taxonomy places the organism in Eukaryota, Metazoa, Chordata, Actinopteri, Labriformes, Labridae.